This 465-nucleotide ribosomal RNA is filed under the name uncultured bacterium. RNAcentral describes it as "partial 16S ribosomal RNA". It matches the Rfam family "Bacterial small subunit ribosomal RNA", at positions 339 to 795 of the family's 1533-position model. The record is from RNAcentral.
CUACGGGGGGCAGCAGUGAGGAAUAUUGCGCAAUGGGGGAAACCCUGACGCAGCGACGCCGCGUGGAUGAUGAAGGCUUUCGGGUCGUAAAAUCCUGUCAGAUGGAAAGAAAUGUAAUCCUGCUAAUACCAUGAUUACUUGGCGGUACCAUCAGAGGAAGCACCGGCUAACUCCGUGCCAGCAGCCGCGGUAAUACGGAGGGUGCAAGCGUUGUUCGGAAUUACUGGGCGUAAAGCGCGCGUAGGCGGUUUGUUAAGUCAGAUGUGAAAGCCCAGGGCUCAACCCUGGACGUGCAUUUGAAACUGGCAGACUUGAGUAUUGGAGGGGGUGGUGGAAUUCCAGGUGUAGAGGUGAAAUUCGUAGAUAUCGGGAGGAAUACCGGUGGCGAAGGCGACCACCUGGCCAAAUACUGACGCUGAGGUGCGAAAGCGUGGGGAGCAAACAGGAUUAGAUACCCUCGUAGUC